RNAcentral lists this ribosomal RNA (515 nucleotides) under uncultured bacterium. RNAcentral describes it as "partial 16S ribosomal RNA". It matches the Rfam family "Bacterial small subunit ribosomal RNA", at positions 29 to 523 of the family's 1533-position model. The record is from RNAcentral.
AAUGAACGCUGGCGGCGUGCCUAAUACAUGCAAGUCGAGCGAAUGGAUUAAGAGCUUGCUCUUAUGAAGUUAGCGGCGGACGGGUGAGUAACACGUGGGUAACCUGCCCAUAAGACUGGGAUAACUCCGGGAAACCGGGGCUAAUACCGGAUAACAUUUUGAACCGCAUGGUUCGAAAUUGAAAGGCGGCUUCGGCUGUCACUUAUGGAUGGACCCGCGUCGCAUUAGCUAGUUGGGGAGGUAACGGCUCACCAAGGCAACGAUGCGUAGCCGACCUGGGAGGGUGAUCGGCCAACCUGGGACUGAGACACGGCCCAGACUCCUACUGGAGGCAGCAGUAGGGAAUCUUCCGCAAUGGACGAAAGUCUGACGGAGCCACGCCGCGUGAGUGAUGAAGGCUUUCGGGUCGUAAAACUCUGUUGUUAGGGAAGAACAAGUGCUAGUUGAAUAAGCUGGCACCUUGACGGUACCUAACCAGAAAGCCACGGCUAACUACGUGCCAGCAGCCGCAGUAA